This is a non-coding RNA of Hydra vulgaris (swiftwater hydra), 932 nucleotides long. Lineage: Eukaryota; Metazoa; Cnidaria; Hydrozoa; Anthoathecata; Hydridae. The record is from RefSeq and is a predicted model, not a curated record.
AAUAACAAUAAAAAUACCUAUAAUUAUUAUAGGUAUUUUUAUAGUAUAAUAUCAUAAAUAAUAAAAUCAUAAUAUCAUUAUAUUAUCCAGGUUUAUACAAUUGUAAUUGCUAUCUCUAAAGCUAUGGUGAUGGUUUAUAUUUUAGCCAAUUUAAAAAUCAACCUGUUAUACACAGGGUAUAUACAAAUGAAAAUAACAUAUUGAAUUCUGGUGUAUUUUUGAAGAACAUUUUUUUUUCAAAAAGUAUUAAAGUUUUUGUGUGCAAGAAAAGAAAACUAAAGAUUUUCAAAUUAAAGAAAAAUAUGCAUCAUGUUUUCGAUAAUAUUUUUGUGUAUCUUUUGGUUUGAUCAAUUUUUACAAUGUUCCCCAUCUAAAUUGGCAGGAAAAAAGUUUAUAAAAAGUAUACAGUUUUAUAGCAAGUUAACAAAUCUACUUUUAACGAAGCUUAAAAUAAAAAGUUUGCAAAAUAGUAUUGCUGUUCCAAAUACAAAUUGCAGAUAUGAUCCAAUACUUUAUGUCAAGCAAGGUUCAAAUUUUAAACCAAACAAACUUACUAUCUGUUGAUCUUCUACUUUGUUUUGAAGUUAUGAGUUCAGAUAAAUAUGUAAAACAUUUAGUUUACAAUUUUUUUUAUGGCUUUUAAGCUCAAACUAGUAACCAAUGAUGUGAUUUAAAAGUUUUAUUUUUACAAAUUUUAAUUUGAAAGGAGAACAACAUACAUUAUUAAAUAAGCUAUAAUUUGAAUGCAUGUAUUUAAAUAUAGGGAAGAUCAAUCACCCCUUUAUAUGUAUAUAUAAAUAUAUAUAUAUAUAUAUAUAUUUUUUUUUUAUAUGUAAGUUUUGAUUUAUAUGUAAGUCUGUACAAAGAUAUAAUUUUAUAUAGCUUUAUAUUUUAUUAAAAGUAUGUUUUAAUUAUAUUUUAAUAUGUUUUAA